AGAGUUUGAUCAUGGCUCAGGAUGAACGCUGGCGGCGUGCCUAACACAUGCAAGUCGAGCGAUUCUUUUCGGAGAAGAGCGGCGGACGGGUGAGUAACGCGUGGGUAACCUGCCCUGUACACACGGAUAACAUACCGAAAGGUAUGCUAAUACGAGAUAAUAUACUUUUAUCGCAUGGUAGAAGUAUCAAAGCUCCGGCGGUACAGGAUGGACCCGCGUCUGAUUAGCUGGUUGGUAAGGUAACGGCUUACCAAGGCGACGAUCAGUAGCCGACCUGAGAGGGUGAUCGGCCACAUUGGAACUGAGACACGGUCCAAACUCCUACGGGAGGCAGCAGUGGGGAAUAUUGCACAAUGGGCGAAAGCCUGAUGCAGCAACGCCGCGUGAGCGAUGAAGGCCUUCGGGUCGUAAAGCUCUGUCCUCAAGGAAGAUAAUGACGGUACUUGAGGAGGAAGCCCCGGCUAACUACGUGCCAGCAGCCGCGGUAAUACGUAGGGGGCUAGCGUUAUCCGGAAUUACUGGGCGUAAAGGGUGCGUAGGUGGUUUCUUAAGUCAGAGGUGAAAGGCUACGGCUCAACCGUAGUAAGCCUUUGAAACUGGGGAACUUGAGUGCAGGAGAGGAGAGUGGAAUUCCUAGUGUAGCGGUGAAAUGCGUAGAUAUUAGGAGGAACACCAGUUGCGAAGGCGGCUCUCUGGACUGUAACUGACACUGAGGCACGAAAGCGUGGGGAGCAAACAGGAUUAGAUACCCUGUAGUCCACGCCGUAAACGAUGAGUACUAGCUGUCGGAGGUUACCCCCUUCGGUGGCGCAGCUAACGCAUUAAGUACUCCGCCUGGGAAGUACGCUCGCAGAGUGAAACUCAAAGGAAUUGACGG
Molecule: ribosomal RNA, 877 nt
Filed under: uncultured bacterium
Lineage: Bacteria
Description: bacterial SSU rRNA
Rfam family: Bacterial small subunit ribosomal RNA
Source: RNAcentral